AGAGACGUUAUGAGAUCAGAGACGUUAUGAGACCAGAGACGUUAUGAGACCAGAGACGUUAUGAGACCAGAGACGUUAUGAGACCAGACACGUUAUGAGACCAGAGACGUUAUGAGACCACAGACGUUAUGAGACCAGAGACGUCAUGAGACCAGAGACGUCAUGAGACCAGAGACGUUAUGAGACCAGAGACGUUAUGAGACCACAGACGUUAUGAGACCACAGACGUUAUGAGACCAGAGACGUUAUGAGACCAGAGACGUUAUGAGACCAGAGACGUUGUGAGACCAGAGACGUUAUGAGACCAGAGACGUUGUGAGACCAGAGACGUUAUGAGACCAGAGACGUUAUGAGACCAGAGACGUUAUGAGACCAGAGACGUUAUGAGACCAGAGAUAGGCUGAGAGGUUAAUGAAAGAGCAGCAUUAAGUGGGAGGAAUUACAGAAACCCCCCCAACACCCUGAAAAUUGUGUUUUGGUCCAAUAGCAACAGCUCCUUCUGAGAUGCCCAAUACCAGAGAAGAUAGAAAACAGAGAGAGAGAGAUCAAUAGCUAAUACAACAGCUCCUUCUGAGAUGCCCAAUACCAAAGAUGAUAGAAAACAGAGAGAUCAAUAGCUAAUACAACAGCUCCUUCUGAGAUGCCCAAUACCAAAGAUGAUAGAAAACAGAGAGAGAUCAAUAGCUAAUACAACAGCUCCUUCUGAGAUGCCCAAUACCAGAGAUGAUAGAAAACAGGGAGAGAGAGAGAUCAAUAGCUAAUACAACAGCUCCUUCUGAGAUGCCCAAUACAAGAGAAGAUAGAAAACAGGGAGAGAGAGAUCAAUAGCUAAUACAACAGCUCCUUCUGAGAUGCCCAAUACCAGAGAAGAUAGAAAACAGGGAGAGAGAGAGAUCAAUAGCUAAUACAACAGCUCCUUCGGAGAUGCCCAAUACCAGAGAAGAUAGAAAACA
Oncorhynchus tshawytscha (Chinook salmon) is the source of this 953-nucleotide long non-coding RNA. The record is from Ensembl. NCBI's taxonomy places the organism in Eukaryota, Metazoa, Chordata, Actinopteri, Salmoniformes, Salmonidae.